CCUACGGGAGGCAGCAGUGAGGAAUAUUGGACAAUGGGCGCAAGCCUGAUCCAGCCAUGCCGCGUGCAGGAAGAAGCAUCUAUGGUGUGUAAACUGCUUUUGUACAGGAAGAAACACUCCCUCGUGAGGGAGCUUGACGGUACUGUAAGAAUAAGGACCGGCUAACUCCGUGCCAGCAGCCGCGGUAAUACGGAGGGUCCGAGCGUUAUCCGGAAUCAUUGGGUUUAAAGGGUCCGUAGGCGGUUUAAUAAGUCAGUGGUGAAAUCUGGUCGCUCAACGAUCAAACGGCCAUUGAUACUGUUAGACUUGAAUUAUAAGGAAGUAACGUAGAAUAUGUAGUGUAGCGGUGAAAUGCUUAGAUAUUACAUGGAAUACCAAUUGCGAAGGCAGGUUACUACUUAUGGAUUGACGCUGAUGGACGAAAGCGUGGGGAGCGAACAGGAUUAGAUACCCUGGUAGUCCACGCCGUAAACGAUGGAUACUAGCUGUUCGGAGCAAUCUGAGUGGCUAAGCGAAGGUGAUAAGUAUCCCACCUGGGGAUACGUUCGCAAGAAUGAAACCUUAAAGAUAGUAGCGNGNGAGAGCGACGAGACGACGAGGAGGAGG
Molecule: ribosomal RNA, 606 nt
Filed under: uncultured bacterium
Lineage: Bacteria
Description: bacterial SSU rRNA
Rfam family: Bacterial small subunit ribosomal RNA
Source: RNAcentral